GGCGAUCAGAUACCGCCCUAGUUCUGACCGUAAACGAUGCCAACUAGCGAUCCGCCAGUCGACUCAUCGCUCUGGUGGGGAGCUUCCCGGAAACGAAAGUCUUCCGGUUCCGGGGGAAGUAUGGUUGCAAAGCUGAAACUUAAAGGAAUUGACGGAAGGGCACCACCAGGAGUGGACCUGCGGCUUAUUUGCUUGACUCAACACGGGGGGGAAACUCACCCGGCCCGGACACCGUAAGGAUUGACAGAUUGAUAGCUUUUUCAUGAAUUCCGGAGGUGGGGGGGGGGGUGGCCUUUUUCUUGUUCGCGAGGAGCGAUUUGUCUGGUUUAUUCCGAUAACGAGCGAGACUCUGGCCUACUAAAUAGUUGACGCAUUGCCACUGUGCGCACAACUUCUUAGAGGGAUUUUCGGUGUUUUCAACCGCACGAAAUUGAGCAAUAACAGGUCUGUAAUGCCCUUAGAUGUCCGGGGCUGCACGCGCGCUACACUGGCAAACGCAACGUGCCUGUCCUGCCCCGAAAGGAGCGGGUAAACCCCUGAAAUUUUGCCGUGAUUGGGAUCGGACAUUGCAACUAUUGUCCGUGAACGAGGAAUUCCUUGUACGGGCGAGUCAUCAACUCGUCCCGAAUACGUCCCUGCCCUUUGUA
Molecule: ribosomal RNA, 647 nt
Filed under: Rotylenchulus reniformis
Lineage: Eukaryota; Metazoa; Nematoda; Chromadorea; Rhabditida; Hoplolaimidae
Description: partial 18S ribosomal RNA
Rfam family: Eukaryotic small subunit ribosomal RNA
Source: RNAcentral